This 1360-nucleotide ribosomal RNA is filed under the name Byturus ochraceus. RNAcentral's name for it is "16S ribosomal RNA". The stretch from base 1067 to 1225 matches the Rfam family "Archaeal large subunit ribosomal RNA", at positions 2544 to 2703 of the family's 2987-position model. Lineage: Eukaryota; Metazoa; Arthropoda; Insecta; Coleoptera; Byturidae. The record is from RNAcentral.
UCAAUUUAAUUUGAAUUGACAAAUUUAUUUAGUUUUUAAAUUUAUAUAUAUAUUAAUAAAAGAAAUUUUAUUUAAUUAUUAUUUUAGAAUAAAUAUUUUUUAUUAUAGUUAAAAGUAUAGUGAUAGAAUAUUUAAUUAAAGUUUUAAAUUUUUAAUAGAAAAAUUAAUUUUUUGUACCUUGUGUAUCAGGGUUUAUUAAAUAAGUUUUAAUUAUUUAAGGUUCUCGAAUUUAAAAGAGUUAUUUAAUAAUAGAUUUUAUUGUGAAAUAAAUAUUUAAAAUUAUUAAAUAGAAAUGAAACGUUAGUCGUUUUUAAAUAUAUCUAGUUUUUUAAGAAAAAAAUUUAAUUUUAUUAUAAAAAUAUAUAAGUUUAAUUUUUUAAUUUUAUAUUUUUUAUUUUAUAUUUUUAAUGGGAUAAGCUUUUAAAAAUAUUAAUAUAAUUAAAUUUAAUAAUAAUAAAUUGUGGGAUUAUAGAUGUCUAUCAUUAAAAAAAUGUUAUAAUUGAUUAUUAUGUAAUUAUUAUUUAUAUUUAAUUUAUAUUUUUUAUUAAAGUAUUAAUUUAAACGUUAAAUAUUAAGAGAUUAUGAUAAAAUUAGUAUAAUUAUUUGUUUAGUUAAAUUUUAAGAUUAAGGUUAUUUUAAGGAAUUCGGCAAAUAUUUUUCUCACCUGUUUAUUAAAAACAUGUCCUUUUGAUAAUAAUUUAAGGUCUAAUCUGCCCACUGAAAAUUUUAAAUGGCCGCGGUAUUUUGACCGUGCAAAGGUAGCAUAAUCAUUAGUUUUUUAAUUGAAAGCUGGUAUGAACGAUUGAAUGAGGAAAAAGCUGUCUCAAUUUAAUUUAUUUAGAAUUUUAUUUUUAAGUUAAAAAGCUUAAAUAAUUUUAAAAGACGAGAAGACCCUAUAGAGUUUUAUAUUUAUUUUAUAAAGUUAAUUUAAGAUUGUAGUUUAAUUUUAUAAAAUAAGUAUUUUGUUGGGGUGACAGAAAAAUUAAAUAAACUUUUUUUAUAUUAGUACAUAUAUAUAUGAGUAUUUGAUCCAAAUUUUUUGAUUAUAAGAUAAAAUUACCUUAGGGAUAACAGCGUAAUUUUUUUUUAGAGUUCUUAUCGAAAGAAAAGAUUGCGACCUCGAUGUUGGAUUAAAGUUAAAUUUUGGUGUAGAAGCUAAAACUUUAGGUCUGUUCGACCUUUAAAACUUUACAUGAUCUGAGUUUAAACCGGUGUAAGCCAGGUUGGUUUCUAUCUUUAAUUAAAUAAAAUAUUUUAGUACGAAAGGACCAAAUAUUUAAUUAAAAAUUUAAUUAAUGAAUAAUAUUGUUAUUUUGGCAGAUUAGUGCAAUAGAUUUAGAAUCUUUUUAUGUAAAGAUUU